GCUUCCGUGGCGCAACUGGUUAGCGCGUAGUGCUGUUAACGCUAAGGUUUCUGGUUCAAAUCCAGGCGGGAGCG
This is a non-coding RNA of Irineochytrium annulatum, 74 nucleotides long. Lineage: Eukaryota; Fungi; Chytridiomycota; Chytridiomycetes; Chytridiales; Chytridiaceae. The record is from the annotation of a GenBank genome assembly.